AAUAAAUAUUAAAAAAAAAAAGAAAAGAAAAGUGGUGAUGGUCACACCUGUGCUCCCCUCUGUGGAUGAAUGAGAAAAGCAAGAUUGCCAGUUCCAACUGUGAUUCCCUCUGGAUCUGCUGGCUUUUCAUGUCAGCCCUGAUUAGGUCAACCUCAUGCUUAUUAUGUUUUUAAUAGCAGAUUUAUUGAGAUGUAAUUCAUAUGCAUACAGUUCACCCAUUUAAAGUGUCACAACUUGAUCUGGGGAUGUGGCUCAGUGGUAUAGUGUUUAUCUGGCAUGGAUGAGAUCCUGGGUUUGAUCCCCAGCACAGCAGAAAAGAAAAAAACAAAACCAAAAAAAACUGUACUGUUCAGUGGCUUUUAGUACAUUCACAGAGUUGUGCAGCCAUCAUCACAAUCAAUUCCAGAACAUUCUUUUCACCCAGCCCCUGGCAACACUGAUGUGCUUUGUCCUAAAGGAUUGUCCCAGAUUGAACAUUUCAUAUAAAUGGAAUCAUACCAUUUUGUGUCUGACUUCUUUGACUCAGAGUAAUUUUUAAAAAAUGGUUUUUUUUAAUUUGUUGAUAGACCUUUAAUUUAUUUAUUUUUAUGUGCAGUGCUGAGAAUUGAACCCAGUUGCCUCACGCAUGCCAGGCAAGUGCCCUACCACUGAGCCCCAACCCCAGCCCAUCAGGGUAAUAUUUUAAGGGUUUAUCAUGGCAUAUGUACAUCAGUACUUAAUUCCUUUUUAUGUGGCAUAAUAUUCCAUGUUAUGAAUAUACCAACUUGGUUAUAUAUUUAUUAGUGGAUGGAUAUUUGAGUUGUUUCCAUCUUUUGGUUGUUAUGAAUAAUGCAACUAUUUGCAUAUAAGUUUUUGUGUGGAUGUAUGUUCUUAUUUCUCUUGGGUAGAUACCUAAGAGUAGAAUUGCUGGGUUGUGUGGUAACUCUAUAUUUAACCAUUUGAAGAACUGCCAGAUUGUUUUCCAAAGUGGUGGCAGUAUUCUGCAUUCCCAAGACCAGUGUACGAAGUUUCUUCUUCACGACCUUGUCAACUCUUGUUAUUAUCUGGCUUUUUGAUUAUAGUCCUUCAGUCCUAGUGGGUGUGAAGUGAUAUUUCAUUGUGAUUUUGAUUUGCAUUUUCUUUUUUUAAAAAAAAUUUUUUUUAGUUGUAGAUGGACACAAUACCUUUAUUUAUUUAUUUUAUGGGGUGUUGAGACCUGAACCCAGUGCCUCACACAUGCUAGGCAAGCGCUCUGCCACUGAGCUAUAGCCCCAGCCCCCAUGAUUUGCAUUUUCUGAUAGCUAAUG
This 1286-nucleotide long non-coding RNA is filed under the name Marmota monax (woodchuck). The record is from RNAcentral. Lineage: Eukaryota; Metazoa; Chordata; Mammalia; Rodentia; Sciuridae.